RNAcentral lists this microRNA precursor (202 nucleotides) under Oryza sativa Indica Group (long-grained rice). RNAcentral describes it as "MIR812 microRNA precursor family". It matches the Rfam family "MIR812 microRNA precursor family". Lineage: Eukaryota; Viridiplantae; Streptophyta; Magnoliopsida; Poales; Poaceae. The record is from Rfam by way of RNAcentral.
AAUAAGUGUGGUUUUACACUGUUAAUGUCCAAUGUUUGGUCAUUCGUUUUAUUUAAAAAAUUUUAUGAUUAGUAUUUUUAUUGUUUUAGAUAAUAAAACAUGAAUAAUACUCUAUGUGUGACUAUCUUUUUAAAAAAAAAUUUAUAUUUUUUUUAAAUAAGACGGACGGUUGUAGAUAUGGAUAUCCACGGCUAAGCUUAUU